GGUCCAGACUCCUACGGGAGGCAGCAGUGGGGAAUUUUGGACAAUGGGGGCAACCCUGAUCCAGCAAUGCCGCGUGAGUGAAGAAGGCCUUCGGGUUGUAAAGCUCUUUUGUCAGGGAAGAAAAGGCCGCAGCUAAUAUCUGUGGCUCAUGACGGUACCUGAAGAAUAAGCACCGGCUAACUACGUGCCAGCAGCCGCGGUAAUACGUAGGGUGCAAGCGUUAAUCGGAAUUACUGGGCGUAAAGCGUGCGCAG
Molecule: ribosomal RNA, 254 nt
Filed under: Duganella alba
Lineage: Bacteria; Pseudomonadati; Pseudomonadota; Betaproteobacteria; Burkholderiales; Oxalobacteraceae
Description: partial 16S ribosomal RNA
Rfam family: Bacterial small subunit ribosomal RNA
Source: RNAcentral